This 254-nucleotide ribosomal RNA is filed under the name uncultured bacterium. RNAcentral describes it as "partial 16S ribosomal RNA". It matches the Rfam family "Bacterial small subunit ribosomal RNA", at positions 524 to 776 of the family's 1533-position model. The record is from RNAcentral.
GACAGAGGCCUCAAGCGUUAGGCGGAAUUACUGGGCGUAAAGCGUGCGCAGGCGGUCUGUUAAGACCGAUGUGAAAUCCCCGGGCUUAACCUGGGAACUGCAUUGGUGACUGGCAGGCUUUGAGUGUGGCAGAGGGAGGUAGAAUUCCACGUGUAGCAGUGAAAUGCGUAGAGAUGUGGAGGAAUACCGAUGGCGAAGGCAGCCUCCUGGGCCAACACUGACACUCAUGCACGAAAGCGUGGGGAGCAAACAGG